This 183-nucleotide unclassified non-coding RNA is filed under the name uncultured Ascomycota. RNAcentral describes it as "sequence contains ITS1". Lineage: Eukaryota; Fungi; Ascomycota. The record is from RNAcentral.
CAAACUCAAAGUUUUUAACUUCAAAACCCAAUGUGAACCAAACCUUUUUUUCGCUUCGGUAGCAGGCACCUGAACCGCUCUUACGCAAGUUUGAACGGUUCCUGUGUCGUAAGCCUGCCGGCAGCACAAUUAUAAAACUCGCUUUUGAACCUGUCUUUGAACAUCAUUUACGAAUGAAAAUCA